RNAcentral lists this long non-coding RNA (729 nucleotides) under Aotus nancymaae (Ma's night monkey). RNAcentral describes it as "lncRNA (ENSANAG00000039439.1)". Lineage: Eukaryota; Metazoa; Chordata; Mammalia; Primates; Aotidae. The record is from RNAcentral.
AAGGGUUGUAUAGAUACUACUCAAAGUUCUGUUACUCCAACUUGUAUCAAAGAAAAAGCAUCAGUUUUAAUCUCUAAUGUAAUCAAAUCAUAUUUUUUUCCAGAGUAUUGUCCUGUGCAUCAAAUCAAAACAAAUGAAAAUCUGAAUUAUUUGUGUUAUGAUAUGGUUCAGCUUAGAAUUGAGGGUUUUAUAUCUAAUAAUGAAAUGACUGCAUAUGUCAGAGGAGCUUCAGUAGUCUCCAGAACCACAUGCUCUCCAGGGUUUCAGGAAGAACCAGUGUUAUUUCACAUCAAAUUCCUCUGCCAUUUUGUCUUCCUCUUUCUUUGUCUUCUGUCUCAGUGUAAGUAACCUACCUAAGGCAUUAGUUAGCUUUCCUGAAGUUCUCAGUUAAUUGCAAACACUGGGGAUUGUAUUACUCAGGGGUAGCCACAACAAUAUAUCUCCCAUUCCACACUUUCUGGCAGUUUGAUGUUGCCUCUUCUCCACCAAAAAGUCAAGUUUUUUUCUCUUUGUUUUUGAUUCUUGGAGUGUCUGAUGAUUGUCUAAACCAAUAGAAUACAUAGGGGAAGAAAGUCUUUGGCUCAGGUUUACUUUAAACCAGACUGGCAGCUUUUGUACAUUUGGAACAUCUUGCAUAUUUGUCCAUGGGAUGUUCUUACUUUUAAUGCAGCCAACAUGCUGUGAAAAACCUAAGCUCAAUGGAGAGGGUUUGUGGAUGUGCUUUUCUGU